GACGAACGCUGGCGGCGUGCUUAACACAUGCAAGUCGAACGGAAAGGCCCUGCUUUUGUGGGGUGCUCGAGUGGCGAACGGGUGAGUAACACGUGAGUAACCUGCCCUUGACUUUGGGAUAACUUCAGGAAACUGGGGCUAAUACCGGAUAGGAGCUCCUGCUGCAUGGUGGGGGUUGGAAAGUUUCGGCGGUUGGGGAUGGACUCGCGGCUUAUCAGCUUGUUGGUGGGGUAGUGGCUUACCAAGGCUUUGACGGGUAGCCGGCCUGAGAGGGUGACCGGCCACAUUGGGACUGAGAUACGGCCCAGACUCCUACGGGAGGCAGCAGUGGGGAAUAUUGCACAAUGGGCGGAAGCCUGAUGCAGAAACGCCGCGUGCGGGAUGACGGCCUUCGGGUUGUAAACCGCUUUCGCCUGUGACGAAGCGUGAGUGACGGUGAUGGGUAAAGAAGCACCGGCUAACUACGUG
RNAcentral lists this ribosomal RNA (468 nucleotides) under uncultured bacterium. Its description in RNAcentral is "partial 16S ribosomal RNA". It matches the Rfam family "Bacterial small subunit ribosomal RNA", at positions 28 to 507 of the family's 1533-position model. The record is from RNAcentral.